Molecule: ribosomal RNA, 378 nt
Filed under: uncultured Providencia sp.
Lineage: Bacteria; Pseudomonadati; Pseudomonadota; Gammaproteobacteria; Enterobacterales; Morganellaceae
Description: bacterial SSU rRNA
Rfam family: Bacterial small subunit ribosomal RNA
Source: RNAcentral
GAGUUUGAUCAUGGCUCACAUUGAACGCUGGCGGCAGGCCUAACACAUGCAAGUCGAGCGGUAGGGAAGCUUGCUUCUCACGAGCGGCGGACGGGUGAGUAAUGUAUGGGGAUCUGCCCGAUAGAGGGGGAUAACUACUGGAAACGGUAGCUAAUACCGCAUAAUCUCUCAGGAGCAAAGCAGUUCGUUGCGCUAUCGGAUGAACCCAUAUGGGAUUAGCUAGUUGGUGAGGUAAUGGCUCACCAAGGCGACGAUCCCUAGCUGGUCUGAGAGGAUGAUCAGCCACACUGGGACUGAGACACGGCCCAGACUCCUACCGGAGGCAGCACUGGGGAAUAUUGCACAAUGGGCGCAAGCCUGAUGCAGCCAUGCCGCGUG